UUGAUUGAUAUAGAUCGCGAAUAGUGUCCGGACAAGGCCGAUGUUUUCACUGUCAUUGGCAUUGGCGGGUUAAGUGCCAUGACAAUGAAUUCGAGUGCAGCGAGAGUGAUGCAAUGCACUCAGUGCAAGAUCCGCUCUUAAACAGAUGGUUAAAGUGAGGAAGUUUCUUUCCGUGCACUGAAGAUCGCCCAAUGAAUGGAGCCACAAUCAAGCGUUCAACUCGGGCGACCAGCGCCAAUCAACGGCCAUCGGAGGGGGGCCAGAACAAGAACCGCAUUGAGCGGGGCGUAACGUGAUUUUACUGCAAUCCGAUCUGGUUUGGCACACACAUCCCCGUCCCCAGCCUCCCCUUCUCCACCAGCACCAAUUCUUAUCGACACUGUUUGUAUAAUUUUUGAAAACAAUUUGUGUGAAAUAUGUGUGUGCAAAAUAAACAAAAAUUGAAAUAUUA
Drosophila suzukii is the source of this 451-nucleotide long non-coding RNA. RefSeq lists it as uncharacterized. Lineage: Eukaryota; Metazoa; Arthropoda; Insecta; Diptera; Drosophilidae. The record is from RefSeq and is a predicted model, not a curated record.